GACGAACGCUGGCGGCGUGCUUAACACAUGCAAGUCGAACGGAAAGGCCCUGCUUUUGUGGGGUGCUCGAGUGGCGAACGGGUGAGUAACACGUGAGUAACCUGCCCUUGACUUUGGGAUAACUUCAGGAAACUGGGGCUAAUACCGGAUAGGAGCUCCUGCUGCAUGGUGGGGGUUGGAAAGUUUCGGCGGUUGGGGAUGGACUCGCGGCUUAUCAGCUUGUUGGUGGGGUAGUGGCUUACCAAGGCUUUGACAGGUAGCCGGCCUGAGAGGGUGACCGGCCACAUUGGGACUGGGGUACGGCCCAGACUCCUACGGGAGGCAGCAGUGGGGAAUAUUGCACAAUGGGCGGAAGCCUGAUGCAGCAACGCCGCGUGCGGGAUGACGGCCUUCGGGUUGGAAACCGCUUUCGCCUGUGACGAAGCGUGAGUGACGGGAAUGGGUAAAGAAGCACCGGCUAACUACGUG
RNAcentral lists this ribosomal RNA (468 nucleotides) under uncultured bacterium. RNAcentral describes it as "partial 16S ribosomal RNA". It matches the Rfam family "Bacterial small subunit ribosomal RNA", at positions 28 to 507 of the family's 1533-position model. The record is from RNAcentral.